CGUAGGUAACCUGCCUGGUAGCGGGGGAUAACUAUUGAAACGAUAGCUAAUACCGCAUAACAGUCGACAUUGCAUGAUGUUGAUUUGAAAGGGGCAAUUGCUCCACUACCAGAUGGACCUGCGUUGUAUUAGCUAGUUGGUGAGGUAACGGCUCACCAAGGCGACGAUACAUAGCCGACCUGAGAGGGUGAUCGGCCACACUGGGACUGAGACACGGCCCAG
RNAcentral lists this ribosomal RNA (222 nucleotides) under uncultured bacterium. RNAcentral describes it as "partial 16S ribosomal RNA". It matches the Rfam family "Bacterial small subunit ribosomal RNA", at positions 116 to 334 of the family's 1533-position model. The record is from RNAcentral.